GAAAGGCCAAUCAAACCGGGAGAUAGCUGGUUCUCCCCGAAAGCUAUUUAGGUAGCGCCUCGUGAAUUCAUCUCCGGGGGUAGAGCACUGUUUCGGCAAGGGGGUCAUCCCGACUUACCAACCCGAUGCAAACUGCGAAUACCGGAGAAUGUUAUCACGGGAGACACACGGCGGGUGCUAACGUCCGUCGUGAAGAGGGAAAAAACCCAGACCGCCAGCUAAGGUCCCAAAGUCAUGGUUAAGUGGGAAACGAUGUGGGAAGGCCCAGACAGCCAGGAUGUUGGCUUAGAAGCAGCCAUCAUUUAAAGAAAGCGUAAUAGCUCACUGGUCGAGUCGGCCUGCGCGGAAGAUGUAACGGGGCUAAACCAUGCACCGAAGCUGCG
This 383-nucleotide ribosomal RNA is filed under the name Escherichia coli. RNAcentral describes it as "bacterial LSU rRNA". It matches the Rfam family "Bacterial large subunit ribosomal RNA", at positions 823 to 1204 of the family's 2925-position model. The record is from RNAcentral. Lineage: Bacteria; Pseudomonadati; Pseudomonadota; Gammaproteobacteria; Enterobacterales; Enterobacteriaceae.